RNAcentral lists this ribosomal RNA (253 nucleotides) under uncultured bacterium. RNAcentral describes it as "partial 16S ribosomal RNA". It matches the Rfam family "Bacterial small subunit ribosomal RNA", at positions 524 to 776 of the family's 1533-position model. The record is from RNAcentral.
UACGUAGGUGGCAAGCGUUGUCCGGAUUUACUGGGCGUAAAGAGCGCGCAGGCGGUCGUUCAAGUCGCGUGUGAAAGCCCCCGGCUCAACUGGGGAGGGUCACGCGAUACUGAUCGACUCGAAGGCAGGAGAGGGUAGUGGAAUUCCCGGUGUAGUGGUGAAAUGCGCAGAUGUCAGGAGGAACACCAAUGGCGAAGGCAGCACUCUGGGACGUGACUGACGCUGAGACGCGAAAGCGUGGGGAGCAAACAGG